RNAcentral lists this transfer RNA (132 nucleotides) under Candidatus Woesearchaeota archaeon. RNAcentral's name for it is "tRNA-Leu". The stretch from base 1 to 60 matches the Rfam family "tRNA". Lineage: Archaea; Nanobdellati; Candidatus Woesearchaeota. The record is from RNAcentral.
GUGGGCGUGCCAGAGUGGUCAAAUGGGCUGGGCUUAGGACCCAGUAGCUUAGUGCUUACGCAGGUUCGAGUAUUAAGCUGUGCUUAAUGAAUUGGAACAAGUGCGGUUUUUUCGAAAUUCCUGCCGCCCACA